This 250-nucleotide ribosomal RNA is filed under the name uncultured archaeon. RNAcentral describes it as "partial 16S ribosomal RNA". It matches the Rfam family "Archaeal small subunit ribosomal RNA", at positions 732 to 982 of the family's 1478-position model. The record is from RNAcentral.
GAUACCCGGGUAGUCCCAGCCCUAAACGAUGCGCGUUAGGUGUAUCGGUGACCACGAGUCACCGAGGUGCCGAAGGGAAACCGUGAAACGUGCCGCCUGGGAAGUACGGUCGCAAGGCUGAAACUUAAAGGAAUUGGCGGGGAGCACCACAACGGGUGGAGCCUGCGGUUUAAUUGGACUCAACGCCGGGAAGCUCACCGGAUAAGACAGCGGAAUGAUUGCCGGGCUGAAGACCCUGCAUGACCAGCUG